Molecule: unclassified non-coding RNA, 1597 nt
Filed under: uncultured fungus
Lineage: Eukaryota; Fungi
Description: sequence contains 18S rRNA gene, ITS1, 5.8S rRNA gene, ITS2, 28S rRNA gene
Rfam family: Eukaryotic large subunit ribosomal RNA (bases 578-1597)
Source: RNAcentral
GGUUGGAUCAUUAAAAAUGAAGGCUUGCCUUCGUUUGUACCGUACUCGAACCGUCACGGGGAGAGUAUCGGUCAAAUCACCCUUUGUGCACUGUACUGUAUUUUGGGAUGGUGUUUUAACGCAUUGUCCCAGCCAUUUUUAACAAACCCCUUUAAUUUGACUGACAUUGUAUUUAAAAUAUACAACUUUUGACAACGGAUCUCUUGGCUCUCGCAACGAUGAAGAACGCAGCGAAAUGCGAUACGUAAUGUGAAUUGCAGAAUUCCGUGAAUCAUCGAAUCUUUGAACGCAUAUUGCACUCUCUUUACGGAGAGUAUGCCUGUUUGAGAAUCUAUAGUAUUUAUUCUUGAUUUAUCAAGAGAUUUGGGACUUCCCACUGUAAAGUGGGUGACCUUAAACCUAUAGCUCAAUACGCUGUGGGGAUGUUUGACGUCUUUACAAUGUUUGCGAAACAGUGUUUGAAUGAAACCGUGGUUUCUCAUAAUGCCUAGUACGUAGACGGUAAAGACUAGUCUUCACGGUUAUCGGGUCCAUAAUCUUGAAGGUUGGGGUGUUUACGCGCCUUUGCCUUGAACAAUGGUCUCAAAUCAGGCAGGAAGACCCGCUGAACUUAAGCAUAUCAAUAAGCGGAGGAAAAGAAACUAACAAGGAUUCCCCUAGUAACGGCGAGUGAAGCGGGAACAGCUCAAAUUUGAAAUCUCGCGGGUUCCCCGUGCGAAUUGUAGUUUAGAGAAACGUUUUCGGGGUAGACUUUGGGUACAAGUUCUUUGGAACAAGGCAUCAUAGAGGGUGAAAAUCCCGUCUUUGACCCAAGGCUCUACUUCAUGUGAUACGUUUUCCAAGAGUCGGUUUGUUUGGGAAUGCAGACCAAAAUGGGUGGUAAAUACCAUCUAAAGCUAAAUAUUGGCGAGAGACCGAUAGCGAACAAGUACCGUGAGGGAAAGAUGAAAAGAACUUUGAAAAGAGAGUUAAACAGUACGUGAAAUUGUCAAAAGGGAAACGCUUGAAACCAGUAUUGCUGGCAGGAAUUCAGCCUUUUGGGUGCAUUUUCCUGUUUGCGAGUCAACAUCAGUUUGACUUGAAGUAAAAAGCCGUGGGAAGGUAGCCCUCGGGUAUUAUAGCCUGCGGCCAUGCUUUGAGUUGGACUGAGGACUGCAGCGUUUUUUGGGGAACCGAUCGCCUUUGGAAGUAGCUGGCUUAAAUGCAUGCAGAUAAGCUUGUCUAUCAAGAAGUACGGUCGGUGUACCACACCAGCGCUUAGGAUGUUGACGAAAUGGUUUUAAACGACCCGUCUUGAAACACGGACCAAGGAGUCUAACAUAUAUGCGAGUAUUUGGGUGGUAAACCCUUAUGCGUAAUGAAAGUGAAAAGGUGGGAUUCUUUAUUGAUGCACCAUCGACCGCGCCAGAUUAUUACUAUCUCGGCGUGAGUAUGAGCAUACAUGCUGGGACCCGAAAGAUGGUGAACUAUGCCUGAAUAGGGUGAAGCCAGAGGAAACUCUGGUGGAGGCUCGUAGCGGUUCUGACGUGCAAAUCGAUCGUCGAAUUUGGGUAUAGGGGCGAAAGACUAAUCGAACCAUCUAGUAGCUGGUUCCCUC